AUGAAGUGGAGCUGUAUCAUCCUCAUCCUUUUGUCAACAGCUACAGGUGUCUACUCAAAGGUCCAGCUGCAGCAGUCUGGGGCUGAACUGGUGAAGCCUGGAGCCUCAGUGAAGCUGUCCUGCAAAGCUUCUGGGUACACAUUCACAGACUACCUUAUGUCUUGGGUGAAGCAGAGUCAGGGAAAGAGCCUUGAGUGGAUUGGAUGGAUUAAUCCUAACAAUGGUGGUACUGCCUACAAUGAAAAGUUUAAUGACAAGGCCACCUUGACUGUAGACAAAUCCUCCAGCACAGCCUACAUGGAGCUUAGCAGACUGACAUCUGAGGACUCUGCGGUCUAUUAUUGUGCAAGACACAGUGUUGAAACCACAUCCUGA
Arvicanthis niloticus (Nile rat) is the source of this 375-nucleotide non-coding RNA. NCBI's taxonomy places the organism in Eukaryota, Metazoa, Chordata, Mammalia, Rodentia, Muridae. The record is from the annotation of a RefSeq genome assembly.